Molecule: non-coding RNA, 3034 nt
Organism: Tinamus guttatus (white-throated tinamou)
Lineage: Eukaryota; Metazoa; Chordata; Aves; Tinamiformes; Tinamidae
Source: RefSeq, a predicted model, not a curated record
CCCCCGCCGCAGCCGCAGCCCCAGAAGACGCCGUCGCAGUCGAUCUAGAAGCAGGAGUCGCUCUAGAUCCCGCAGUCGGUCCCGCUACAGUCGGUCCAAGUCCCGGUCUCGCACACGCUCUCGGUCUCGUUCCACCUCGAAGUCCAGAUCUGCCCGGAGGUCCAAGUCAAAGUCCUCAUCUGUCUCCAGAUCACGGUCCAGGUCAAGAUCUCGGUCCAGGUCUAGAAGCCCUCCACCUGCCUCAAAGAGGGAAUCUAACUCCAGAUCCAGGUCAAAGAGCCCUCCCAAGUCUCCAGAGGAAGAAGGAGCCGUAUCCUCUUAGGAAAAUGGUAAUGUACUUUGGGAACAGCAAACGUUGCAUGUUACUUUAUUGUAGCACUUCAGUGGGGUGUUGGGCAAAGUAUUAAUAGCCUGAACCAAGUGAAUCGUAGUGGGGCACGUUACUAGCUGUUCUUUUCUUUUCUUUUCUUUUUUUGUUUCUUUUUUUUUUUCUUUAAACAGUGCUGUGUGGUUAUUGAUUAGGGAAAUUAAUACCAAAGGGCUUUCUGCAGAGGACAUUUUCUUGUUUUGUUGAGAUUAAUGGCUUGACUUUUAUAAAAUAAUGUAUGAGACGCAACCUAUUAUGAAAAUGACUAUUUCUUACUGUAUUUAUCCAACAUCUGCAUUUUCCCCUUUAAAGCUGCGGUCUCCUGUUUGCUAAAAGAAUAUUGGCCAGUAUUGCAGAUUUUAACUGAUUUGGCUGAUCCUCCAGGGACCAGUUUCUGUGGGCGUGUGUUGGAGCAGGUUUGUCUUUAAAUGUUAAAGAUGCACUAUCCUUUUAUAAUGGAACAUCGCUUCAGUGACCAUUAUACUGACUGGAGGUAACUGUUCUAGAAAAGUGGCAAAUUCACUGCAACGAGAAAAAGAUGGAAACUAGUUUUUCCUCAAGUCAAGAUCUUGAAGAGGCUUCUGAGGAUAACACUGGGUGGGGAAAGGAUAGUGUGUCUUUAACCCCUCAAACUGUUUGGUCCUAUUUUUAAAAGGAGAGGGCCUAAGUUAGCUCUGAAGUUAGAUAACUGUAGCAAAACUCGUGACACUUUGCUUUUGAGAGCUAAUUAAAGUUUAGUUAAGUCUCUUAUCGAGAAGAACUAGUUUUACGUAACUUUAAUAUAACUUUUGUAGUUUAUUAAGGAACAGGCUGAAUUCAAGUUAAUGGUGGUUUGAUCUACAGCCUGAUGUUUAUUCUUCCUUGUAAUUAAAUACUUUUACAAAAUCUCACAUUUGGCCUCAGUAUUAAAGCAACACUGGGGGGGGAGGUGGAGCACUGUGUAAAUCUUAAAGCUUAACAAUAUUAGGGGAAAGCCAGUUGAAACACACCUAGAAAAUACCUGAAGUCAUCCACAGAACAGCAGAGACAUGGUAGAAACGUAGCUGAACUUUUCUUUCUUCAAACCUAGAUGCAACAGAUAGAGAAUCUACAUAAAGGACGCCUUUGGGGGGAAAAGAUCGCUUGAGUCUUCAGUCCAUUGGAGAGACCCCUGGCACGAGCAACCAGCUGAUGAAAAGGUUAUUUUGUAACAUUUUGUCUAACUUUUUACUUGUUUAAGUUGCGCCUCAAGUGGCAGAUUUUACAUUUUAUGUGCCAUUUUGUUGCUGUUAUUCAAAUUUCUUGUAAUUUAGUGAAGUGAACGACUACCGAUUUCAUUAUUGGCUUGGAUAUUUGAGGUAAAACUUCAUUUUGUUUAUAUAGUGCUGACUUUUAUUUGAAAUUAAACUGGUAACUUGCUGCCUCAAGUUUCAUACUGAGGAGACAUGCAGCCAUUAUACACUGAGUAGCUAACUGUCAAAAAAAAAAAAGUAUUCUCAAUUUUGUCUUCAUUCCUUGAAUAAAAUUCUGCAAGACUUCAAUUUGAAAUUUACUGUAAAUGCUUUUUUUUUUUUAAACUUAGAAUUUAAAUAAUAUCUUAAAUUGGUAGAAAUCUUUUCAGGUGACAGUUGAUUAUUAUAUUUUUUGAAAGGAAUGUUUUAUCAGACUCAAUUCUAAUCUCUUCUCUUAUGUAUUUUUGUGCACUAGGCGCAGUUGUGUAGCAGUUGAGUAAUGCUGGUUAGCUGUUAAGGUGGCGUGUUGCAGUGCAGAGUGCUUGGCUGUUUCCUGUUUUCUCCUGAUUGCUCCAGUGUAACGAUGCCUUGUCGUGCAGAAACAAAUGGCUGUCCAGUUAAUUAAAAUGCCUGACAACUGCACUUCCAGUCACCCGGGCCUUGCAUAAAAAUAAUGGAGCAUACAGUGAGCACAUCUAGCUGAUGAUAUACACACCCUAUUUUUUCCAGAAUGGUAAAUCUCACCAACAUGCAUAUACGAACUUACAUAUGAGAAAUGUAAUGUUAACAAAGAAAUGGUUCAUUCCUUUGUAAGUACUGAUUGGUGUAUCUUUUGCGUAAAGACAUUCUGUACUAUACCCACUGUCUCUGUAGUUUAAUAUUAAACAUUUUUCUGUGUUAACUUUUCUCAACUUAAUGUCUUGAGUCAGCUUAUUUUUAGCUUGAAAAGAUUUCUGCAAUGAUACUGUCAAUGUUUAACUUCUGUAUAGUAACUGAAUGCAUACUACUGCUUCUAAAUAUUAUCCACUGGGAUUGCUUUGAAAUUACUAAGGAAAACUUAAUAGUGUUGUGACUAACCAAAACACUGUAAGAUGAGUAUUGCACAGCAGACUAAAAUCAGGCAGAUCUGCUAGAUGUUGUUGUGGAAGAUACACACUGAGCAGUACUAAUUGCAUUUGCUGUGUGCUUGCUCUGCCUCAACAGGCUGCUGCUUGAUGGUAGCCAAAUCUUCUAGUGAUGAGGGUUUUUUUGAGUUGGAUGCUAAAUGGAUUGUAAUCUCAACCAUCCUUUGUCAAGGGUUAUUGUAAUGCCUUGCUAACUUUAUGCAUGUAUGUUAAAUGGAAAACAUCUGAAUAUUUGAACUCUGGCUUGAUUGAGGAUUAAAAAUACUUUUCUACAAGCUGAGGAGUUUGUAUGUUCCAGGACUGCAUGACUGGCAGCAGUCAGUGUAGAUCCC